ACGGAAGGCAGCAGUGAGGAAUAUUGGUCAAUGGGCGAGAGCCUGAACCAGCCAUGUCGCGUGCAGGAAUACGGCCCUACGGGUUUUAAACUGCUUUUGCCUGGGGAUAAAGUGGCGGACGAGUCCGCUAUUGCAGGUACCAGGCGAAUAAGGAUCGGCUAACUCCGUGCCAGCAGCCGCGGUAAUACGGAGGAUCCGAGCGUUAUCCGGAUUUAUUGGGUUUAAAGGGUGCGCAGGCGGCACGUUAAGUCAGCGGUGAAAUGUCGGGGCUCAACCCGGGCACUGCCGUUGAAACUGGCGAGCUUGAGUACGGAUGAAGUCGGCGGAAUGUGAUGUGUAGCGGUGAAAUGCUUAGAUAUGUCACAGAACACCGAUUGCGAAGGCAGCUGACUAAUCCGCAACUGACGCUCAGGCACGAAAGCGUGGGGAUCGAACAGGAUUAGAUACCCUGGUA
This 454-nucleotide ribosomal RNA is filed under the name uncultured Marinilabiliaceae bacterium. RNAcentral's name for it is "partial 16S ribosomal RNA". It matches the Rfam family "Bacterial small subunit ribosomal RNA", at positions 341 to 792 of the family's 1533-position model. The record is from RNAcentral. Lineage: Bacteria; Pseudomonadati; Bacteroidota; Bacteroidia; Marinilabiliales; Marinilabiliaceae.